GGGAGUUCGCGAAUGAAGGUAAUUUCAUUAGAGGUCAGCCGAACCUUUUGAAGAAUAUCCAUAGGCGUAAACCUGUUCAUAGUCAUUCUGCACAGAAUCUUCAUGGCCUGUCAUCUCCAUUAACUGAAUCAGAAAGACAGGGAUACAAGGAAGAUAUUCAAAAGCUGAUGCAUGAGAAUGGAUCACUUCACUUGGACCUACAAAGACAUAAACAGGAUCACCAAGGACUUGAAUUGCAAAUGCAGGUUUUAACUGAACGUGUUCAACAUGCAGAACACCGUCAGAAGACCAUGAUAUCUGCUUUA
RNAcentral lists this unclassified non-coding RNA (305 nucleotides) under Hevea brasiliensis (rubber tree). Lineage: Eukaryota; Viridiplantae; Streptophyta; Magnoliopsida; Malpighiales; Euphorbiaceae. The record is from RNAcentral.